AAGAAUUUUCAGGAGAGAAACCCAAUUACAGUUGAUCAACUUCAGCUGUGCCACCUACACAUGAAAAGGUUUUUAAGCAUCAGAUAGUGAUUGCAUUUUCAGGUAGCAACAGGAGCCAUGGGUUGUGUUGGAAUCCUGUUCACUUGUGUGGUGGCUGUGUGCCUUCACAAAGGAUCAAGUUGGCUGCUCGCUAGAGAUGGUGUGCAAAAGAUUCAAGACGAAUUGUCAGAAAAUUCUAUUUCUCUGAAGA
Long non-coding RNA from Xiphophorus hellerii (green swordtail), 250 nucleotides. RefSeq lists it as uncharacterized. Lineage: Eukaryota; Metazoa; Chordata; Actinopteri; Cyprinodontiformes; Poeciliidae. The record is from RefSeq and is a predicted model, not a curated record. The transcript has 3 exons.